GCCAGGUUGGCCAUAGCUCAAAUGAUUUUAUCUUAAUAUUUUUACUUUUCAGUUGAAUGAAGAUUUUCAAAAAUGUUCAACACUGAAAUGCACUGUGCAUACUAGCUUACAAAAAGAAAAUAAAUACAAUUCACCAACGCUAUGUUUCUUGAGAUUACUCUUACUUCUUCACUUCUACUGUAUUCCGUCCACAGCAACAUUCUUUUAAUAACAUGGAUUAUGGUUUCCUAAUCUAUCUUCUGUAAGUAUGUUUGGCUUCAAUGUUGGAUCUUGUCAGUUACAUUACAAUUUGCUGCAAGAAACAAAACAAUUGAGUACACAUCAGCCAAACAGAUGAAUUUAUAAUUACCUACGAUUUAAAUAACAAUGAUCGCAUUCUUUGCCAUAGGCUACU
RNAcentral lists this unclassified non-coding RNA (394 nucleotides) under Hevea brasiliensis (rubber tree). Lineage: Eukaryota; Viridiplantae; Streptophyta; Magnoliopsida; Malpighiales; Euphorbiaceae. The record is from RNAcentral.